This 71-nucleotide transfer RNA is filed under the name Marmota monax (woodchuck). RNAcentral describes it as "tRNA.Glu". The record is from RNAcentral. Lineage: Eukaryota; Metazoa; Chordata; Mammalia; Rodentia; Sciuridae.
GAGGCUGUAGCUCAGUGGUAAAGCGCUUGCCUCUCAUGUGCGAGGCACUGAGUUUAAUCCUCAGCACCACA